RNAcentral lists this long non-coding RNA (296 nucleotides) under Carica papaya (papaya). RNAcentral describes it as "long non-coding RNA (CPAP_LNC013934)". Lineage: Eukaryota; Viridiplantae; Streptophyta; Magnoliopsida; Brassicales; Caricaceae. The record is from RNAcentral.
UUAAAUGAUUCAGUUGUGUUUCCUUAAUACAUAUAUUACUUGUUUUGCAUGAUUUACAGUUGAUUAUAAAAUGUAAAAUUAAUAUACAAAUAGAAAAUUACUUGAUGAUGUGAAUUAAUUAAUGAUUGUCUUACUGAAUAUCUUGAAAGAUGGUGGAUGGACCGGGUUCAUAGAGAACCCUACCGUGAACGUCACCUCAUACCGGACGGGGUAUCGAGAGAUGAUAUUUUUAUCUCUCAUACCAGACAAGGUAUGGGGACGGCUCAAUUUACCCUCAUACCUGACGGAGUAUUGAG